RNAcentral lists this transfer RNA (74 nucleotides) under Ixodes scapularis (black-legged tick). RNAcentral describes it as "tRNA-Ser". The stretch from base 10 to 66 matches the Rfam family "tRNA", at positions 9 to 63 of the family's 71-position model. From Rfam's summary of the family: Transfer RNA (tRNA) molecules are approximately 80 nucleotides in length. Lineage: Eukaryota; Metazoa; Arthropoda; Arachnida; Ixodida; Ixodidae. The record is from RNAcentral.
CUCUUGGUGAGCUCACUUGGUAGAGCGCUCCACUGGAAAUCGAGAGGUCCCUGGUUCGAUACCAGGGCUAGACG